GACCUCUUAGCUCAGUGGUAGAGCGUGAGAUUCCAGCUUGUUGGCACCUCCUCAAGGUCAUCCGUUCAACUCGGGUAGGGGUCA
This 84-nucleotide transfer RNA is filed under the name Ceratobasidium sp. AG-Ba. It matches the Rfam family "tRNA". From Rfam's summary of the family: Transfer RNA (tRNA) molecules are approximately 80 nucleotides in length. Their secondary structure includes four short double-helical elements and three loops (D, anti-codon, and T loops). Further hydrogen bonds mediate the characteristic L-shaped molecular structure. tRNAs have two regions of fundamental functional importance: the anti-codon, which is responsible for specific mRNA codon recognition, and the 3' end, to which the tRNAs corresponding amino acid is attached (by aminoacyl-tRNA synthetases). tRNAs cope with the degeneracy of the genetic code in two manners: having more than one tRNA (with a specific anti-codon) for a particular amino acid; and 'wobble' base-pairing, i.e. permitting non-standard base-pairing at the 3rd anti-codon position. The record is from Rfam by way of RNAcentral. Lineage: Eukaryota; Fungi; Basidiomycota; Agaricomycetes; Cantharellales; Ceratobasidiaceae.